This 467-nucleotide ribosomal RNA is filed under the name uncultured bacterium. RNAcentral describes it as "partial 16S ribosomal RNA". It matches the Rfam family "Bacterial small subunit ribosomal RNA", at positions 28 to 506 of the family's 1533-position model. The record is from RNAcentral.
GACGAACGCUGGCGGCGUGCUUAACACAUGCAAGUCGAACGGAAAGGCCCUGCUUUUGUGGGGUGCUCGAGUGGCGAACGGGUGAGUAACACGUGAGUAACCUGCCCUUGACUUUGGGAUAACUUCAGGAAACUGGGGCUAAUACCGGAUAGGAGCUCCUGCUGCAUGGUGGGGGUUGGAAAGUUUCGGCGGUUGGGGAUGGACUCGCGGCUUAUCAGCUUGUUGGUGGGGUAGUGGCUUACCAAGGCUUUGACGGGUAGCCGGCCUGAGAGGGUGACCGGCCACAUUGGGACUGAGAUACGGCCCAGACUCCUACGGGAGGCAGCAGUGGGGAAUAUUGCACAAUGGGCGGAAGCCUGAUGCAGCAACGCCGCGUGCAGGAUGACGGCCUUCGGGUGGUAAACCGCUUUCGCCUGUGACGAAGCGUGAGUGACGGUAAUGGGUAAAGAAGCACCGGCUAACUACGU